This 72-nucleotide microRNA precursor is filed under the name Nannospalax galili (Upper Galilee mountains blind mole rat). RNAcentral's name for it is "miRNA (ENSNGAG00000008107.1)". The record is from RNAcentral. Lineage: Eukaryota; Metazoa; Chordata; Mammalia; Rodentia; Spalacidae.
UGAGGCAUGGGACCAGAGUGUGGCACCACUGCACUGACUGCACUGCUCCGACCUGCCUCCUGCUCACCUCAG